GCCAGGUGCAGUGGCGCACACCUGUAAUCUUAGCAGCUCUGGAGGCUGAGGCAGGAGGAUCGUGAGUUCAAAGCCAGCUUCAGCAAUGGCAAGGUGCUAAACAGCAGCUCAGUGAGACCCUGUCUCUA
RNAcentral lists this small RNA (128 nucleotides) under Marmota monax (woodchuck). The record is from RNAcentral. Lineage: Eukaryota; Metazoa; Chordata; Mammalia; Rodentia; Sciuridae.